Molecule: transfer RNA, 72 nt
Filed under: Paramuricea clavata
Lineage: Eukaryota; Metazoa; Cnidaria; Anthozoa; Malacalcyonacea; Plexauridae
Rfam family: tRNA
About the family: Transfer RNA (tRNA) molecules are approximately 80 nucleotides in length. Their secondary structure includes four short double-helical elements and three loops (D, anti-codon, and T loops).
Source: Rfam by way of RNAcentral
GCCCGUUAGCUCAGUUGGUAGAGCAUCAGACUUUUAAUCUGAGGGCCAUGGGUUCGAGUCCCAUAUCGGGCU